RNAcentral lists this ribosomal RNA (230 nucleotides) under uncultured bacterium. RNAcentral's name for it is "partial 16S ribosomal RNA". It matches the Rfam family "Bacterial small subunit ribosomal RNA", at positions 15 to 236 of the family's 1533-position model. The record is from RNAcentral.
GAUCCUGGCUCAGGAUGAACGCUAGCUACAGGCUUAACACAUGCAAGUCGAGGGGCAGCGGGAAGUCAGCUUGCUGACUUUGCCGGCGACCGGCGCACGGGUGAGUAACGCGUAUCCAACCUGCCCAUCACUUGGGAAUAACCUUGCGAAAGUAAGACUAAUGCCCAAUGACAUCCCACGAAGGCAUCCGAAUGGGAUUAAAGAUUUAUCGGUGAUGGAUGGGGAUGCGU